AUGGAUCAGAGAUUCUCACUGUGCUUAUGAGCAUGAAAUAAAAUGAGGCACUUUUAUGAUCGGGUCAAAUCCUGUCUAGCACAAAUCUUUCUUCGUGUUAGCGGGAAGGUUUCCAUAAAUUACCGGCGGCCUGAAGGAGGAAACGCGUUGGAGUACAAAAGAGCCUGUCUCCACAGCAACGUGCCUUGAUUUGCCAGAAUGUGCCAGUGUGAAGCUUGGCAAAUGAGCUAAAUGAUAUUUGUUUGAGGCUUUUACAGGAUAAAGGUAUCAUUAGUGAGCCAGAUGCAGACAGUGGCAAUGACCUCACAUCUCUUCAGUUAUCUUCUAUUUACUAUGCUAAUGCAGACAGCAUUGGUGCAAAAAAUGAUUUUUAUACGUUUUAUUUUUUCAUGUCCUCAUAGAGACUAAUCCUCUUUUCAUCAGAAAAAUGUGUUACCUUAACUGUUAUUUUAGGUCUCUUUGUAGAGGAUUCGGCAAGCUCUAUGUUAAUAUCAAAAAACUAUGCAGAAAAAUAUUUGCUGAUGACCUUUUUUCCUAGAAAAUAACAAGACUAAAACUAAAUUAAAAAAAACAGUAAUAACAAAAACUAUGGACAAAAUAUAAUGCAGUGUAAUUACUCAACAACCUGCAUGCAUCUGGAAAAUCACACAGUAUCCACCGCUAGCUAAAUCUCUUCUUCUUGACCUGUAGCACUAAUAAGCAGCAUCUUGCAUUCAGUAAUGUUAGCUAACGUUACGUUAAUGUUAGCUAGUGUUUGCUCACAUUAGUAAAGAUUUAUGGAUUAAAUGCAUCCACAUUCUUACUAAAAAUUAGACAAGAGGCAGCAACAAAGCAUUUAUAAAAAGUUUAAGCUAACGUAACAUACCAUCAACAGCCUUUAAUCAUAUCAGCAUGUAACCAGGCCAAAGUGACAUAUGCAGAUUUUUUUCCUCAAAGGAGAACACAGGAAAAGUGAUCCCCUUGAUGUUCAUUUAAGGAACAGUUAUGUUAUCCAACAUUUCAGCUGCUCAUUUCAAGCUAAACCCAGACAGUGAACAGUGUUUUAGUGAGCAGCUGAGGGAAUCCAGCUCCUGAAUUAUCAGCUGCUCUGCUGUGUAGCCGACAGCACAGGUACCUGCAAUACUGCCAAGUGUGGAGGAACGACAGUGAGUGACAACUGGAUUUACUGAAGAGAGUGAUUCGGGCUAUAUCCCUUAUUACUGCAGGGCAGAGUGACAUUGACACACUGGGUGUGAACCUUUACAGUCUGGUAUAAACAGGUCAGCAGCAGUGCAGCAAGUUUGUGGAUACAGAACGUCCCCGUAUCAUUUCAAUCUGGCGGGACCCUCCCUUUAACGCAGUGUGGGAGCGACAGCAGGCUAUUCAGAUAGCACUGUCUCAAUCAGACUGACCUUGACUGUGCAUGUUGUGAAGGUAAAGCAUAAUGCCAUGCAUCGCAAGUCAGUCCUUGAAAUGUAGCAGUGCAGAUGUACAGUAUGGAUGCUGGAAGCUACACAACAAUGAUGCUGGAGCUUAAGAGUGAACAAACAGACAAUGUGAGCGCAAUGUGCAGGACAGCACAGAGAAAUAAACACUUGGACAAUGGGUGGAGGAAAGAGCAAUGGCAACAACAACUUAUGCUAAAGACAAAGAAAGAUAUUUUUGUGUUUCCAAAUGUUACCAUAUAAUAAAGCAUUUCAGCACAAAGUGACUUCCUCAUUAACAAUAUUAAA
This is a long non-coding RNA of Thunnus maccoyii (southern bluefin tuna), 1712 nucleotides long. RefSeq lists it as uncharacterized. The record is from RefSeq and is a predicted model, not a curated record. Lineage: Eukaryota; Metazoa; Chordata; Actinopteri; Scombriformes; Scombridae. The transcript has 3 exons.